This 392-nucleotide ribosomal RNA is filed under the name uncultured bacterium. RNAcentral's name for it is "partial 16S ribosomal RNA". It matches the Rfam family "Bacterial small subunit ribosomal RNA", at positions 523 to 918 of the family's 1533-position model. The record is from RNAcentral.
AUACGUAUGUCGCAAGCGUUAUCCGGAUUUAUUGGGCGUAAAGCGCGUCUAGGCGGCUUAGUAAGUCUGAUGUGAAAAUGCGGGGCUCAACCCCGUAUUGCGUUGGAAACUGCUAAACUAGAGUACUGGAGAGGUAGGCGGAACUACAAGUGUAGAGGUGAAAUUCGUAGAUAUUUGUAGGAAUGCCGAUGGGAAAGCCAGCCUACUGGACAGAUACUGACGCUAAAGCGCGAAAGCGUGGGUAGCAAACAGGAUUAGAUACCCUGGUAGUCCACGCCGUAAACGAUGAUUACUAGGUGUUGGGGGUCGAACCUCAGCGCCCAAGCUAACGCGAUAAGUAAUCCGCCUGAGGAGUACGUACGCAAGUAUGAAACUCAAAUGAAUUGACGGGG